UACAAGAAGAGGUUGCAAAGCUAGUGUUUGUAAUAUAAAUCAUGUCAAUUUGCUUGUUGAAUGUCUUCAAUCAUUAAUUUUAUAAAUUUUCAUUCCAUGAUCGACGUUCUAUAAAAUCCAAAAUUUCCAAGUCUCAGCCCUUAAUUGCGUAGUAUGUUAGUGAUUUUUUGCACCAAAUUUUUCGUUUCGCCACAAAGCUUUCCCAAUGCAUCUCUCCGAAAAGCGGUUCCCACUAAAAAGAUCGACCCGCAUGCACUCGAGGCAUCGAACAUGCAAAGCCUGUUAAACUUGACUCACGCCUUGUGCAUUCAUUUCCUCAACAUACUUUGGCUUGCUCCCACCCACAAAUCAUCCACUAUUAUGGUUGAUUUGAAUUGAUCAUUGAACAGACCAAAAUACACAACACAAACCGCUCUGCGAAAAGCGCUUCGUUUUCUUUUGUUUAGCUUCUAAAAUUAGUUUUAACAGCUCCAUUCGACGACGGAGCGGUUCACACAUGUGUCUUGUCUUCCUCACUUUUCAAACUGCGAUAGGAAAAAUCAGCGAAAAAGGAAUGCUUUAGUUGGUCUUCUUGGCGUUUAGGUCUAAAAUGCACUACGUUGUCGGAGAAAAAAAGCAGAACCAACGCAGAUGAUCGCAUUUCGUGACUUGUUGCACCAACAGAAAAGGAAAAUUCGAUCCCAACCAUCACAAACCCUUGGGAAAUCGAAGGGAAACUAGCUCAUAGAUCAAGUGUGAGUGUGUGCUCUUCUUCACUGCCGUUGUCGGUCGUCGUUGCGAGACCAAAGUGCAAUGCUACUAUGGCAACUGCCAUUAUUCACGAUGGGUUUCACUUUCGUUGCUGCUGUUCGUGAGUGUAAAUCGUGCACGGGACAAGUGUAGCUCGUGAAUUCUGAACCGUGCUUACCGGAAAACAGAUCAAUAAAAUUUCCUGCUUGCUGAACAUGUGGAAUCGUCACGAAAGACGAGUUCAAUUUUUGGUUUGAUGCUUCAAACAAGUGCUUCAAUAGCUUGAAAGUGUGGCUUACGCUUCUAAUAUUUGCAAUUUAAGUUGUCUUAUGUAAACUUUGUUCACCAUGAGUAGUAGACAAUAUUACGACAACAAUGUUAGCAGUCUAAUAAAUAAGUUCGAGGUACGAAACUAUCCUAAAAAUAGAAGAAUGGCAGCGCCAGAGCCAGACGAAGAAGUGUACGUACGAAGACGCAGGGAGUAUCCCAUUCCUUCGUCCGCAGACGGUCGGGAACGUCACGUUUACCUGAACGACUCAGCUGUUUUCUACGAUAGUGUUGAAAAUAUACCGGUGAAUGUUAGAUUUCCCAAUCGCUACAGCUACAACGAAUCACUUUCGUCGUUGAACGAAUCAGACUACGGUGGUGGUCGGUACGAUUCGACGGUGGAGGAGUAUCAGGAUGAUCCGGUCCCGAUCAGUAAAGAACAGGUGGCCUCCUCAUUAUCGCGAUUCGGGGUCAUUCUACAGAUGCUGUCGAAAAUUCCAUUUCCACGAAUGUCCGUCACCGGGAUGGGCCUCUGCUCGCUUGUCGCAAUCUUCAUCUGCCCAAGAACGCUCGGUGCCAAUAUUCUGUUUCCCGGUUUCAGAUUAUUGUUCGGCACGCUCUAUCCCGCCUAUGCAUCAUACAAAGCAGUCAGGACUAAAAAUGUCAAAGAAUAUGUCAAAUGGAUGAUGUAUUGGAUAGUUUUUGCGUUCUUCACCUGCAUCGAAACGUUCACCGACAUUCUGCUGUCGUGGUUCCCGUUCUACUAUGAAAUCAAAGUCAUCAUCGUACUUUGGCUACUCUCGCCGGCUACAAGGGGCAGUUCGACGCUCUAUCGAAAAUUUGUGCAUCCGAUGCUGACGCGACGAGAACAGGAAAUCGAUGACUACAUCAACCAAGCCAAAGAGAAAGGCUAUACGGCUGUGCUGCAGUUAGGAUCCAAGGGUGUAAACUAUGCCACUAAUGUUAUCAUGCAAACUGCAAUCAAGGGUGGUGGCGGUUUGGUGCAAACGCUGCGCAAAAGCUACAGCCUGAGCGACCUCUCGGAACCGGAUACACAUCGCACCCAGGAGGAAAUUGACGAACUGACCCGGUCCCAGAGGGUGCUGCGCUCCAAGAGUGCCCGGUCCUCUUCCGGUGGUCGCCACGUAGAAAUGUAUUUCCCCGAGGUGGAGAUAGCUGGGACACCACACCACAAUCCACCACCGCCGUAUAACUAUAUUCGAUCCUCCGACGACAUCAGUUCAGGAUAUUCGAGUGCAGAGCCAGGAUUGAGUCGAACGGCUUCGAUGAGCAAUACCGUUAGGCCACGUGUGAAAUCUAAAACACGGGAGGAUGACGAUGAUGUAUUCUAUGAUGGCAGAGAUACAGACCGAUACUAUGGCAGUGGUUCUCAAUUCAUUCCCUCUUCCGCUACGCUCUAUGAAAUUCCUCCAAGCCCUCUCCCGGCUAUAACCCAGGCUAGUCAUUUUCCCGAGCCUAAAAGCCUUCCAAUAUACUCCUCUCAUUCCAACGCAGUUUCUAAACCCACACAAAGUCUCCCACCGAAAUACGAACUAUUUCUACAAUGGAUGGAGUCUCAAAAACAAGCUCAUCCUGUAGAAAUCGAAGAAAAGCCCAGAAAUGUAGAUUUGAAAAUUGACCACCCUGAUACUGUCGAGAAACCGCAACCAAAGAUGGGAGCUUCCUCUGUUGAUGUUCCUUUUUUAGACAAAGUUGAAUCCAAUGAGCAGGAAGACUUUCGGAUAGAGGCACCGAUGUUGACUCCAUUGCCGGAAAACGAACAAUCGGAGAUGAGUUUCUCCGAGGAUAUGUUCCGAGAUACAGUUUCCUUAUCUAGUGAAGAUGAGUUCCUUGAAGUGGAACCGGACGAAAGUAUUUCAGAAACUGCAAUUGAGUCUUCCAAUGACGUGCCUCUAGUUAUCGAAGAAUCUCAGAUAAUGGACGAUGCUGACAAGGACAAGCCUGGAGAUCCACAAAGUUCAAACAUAGUUCAAGAUCUUUCAAUGAAUCCUGAUGAAUGUGGGCGUCCAAUCGUUAUUGAUACCGUGGAAGAACUGGUCAUUCAAGAGAUUCAAACCCAUGAAUCUACUGGUGCUGUUGAUUACUCAGCUUCUUUUCCACAUCAAGACGACAAACUUCAUAUCUCAGAAGAAGACAUAGUUACUUAUGUUCCCACUAUACCAGAAUCAUCCACGAAGUCAGAACCCAUUUCAAUGGAAAACCCUCAAACAGCAAUCGAAUCAACUAACCAGCUAAACAUCUCAAUAUCAAAUCUAACAUCAUCAACGUCGUCGUUAGCUCUCUCAGAAGCCAGCAGUCAAAUGGAUGAUGCUGCCCACAAGAAGUCAGCAUCUCAUGGAAAACGAAAAGCUCCGUCAAUUCCGACUUCAAUCAAGCAAGAGCCAAUAGCUCCUAAGCUAGAAGUACCAGCUGUCCAAAAACCUCCCGAACGAAUUCAUAAACCCCUCGUAGUUGCAUCAGUUUCAGUAGAACCCAAGAAAUCUGUAGUUCCAGAGGUUGCACGGGAUAAGGACAAGGAUAAGAAACCGAAAUCGAAGAAGCUGAUGAGUUCCAUCAGCGGUAUGUUCAAACAUGAUAGCCCAUCCACAUCGGGGGCUUCCGGUUCAAGUGUAUCGACACGUGCCAAAGCUUCUCUUCAUCCGAGGGAGACUGAGAUUUGAUUUUAUUUUAUCAUGUUCCCCUCGGGUCUUCCUAUGUUUACUUUCAUUUUGAGAACCACUGCUCAUCACUCACUUGUGCGUUUGACGAUCGACAGAAUUCACUUUAUGGCUCGUGUUUUCUUUAGUUGAUAAAAUGUCCGCAAGCUGCACCACAUUACCUCGUUCGAAAAAGACGGAAAAAGUUAUAAAAACGCGUUCGAAGACGGAAAAGUA
Ochlerotatus camptorhynchus is the source of this 3890-nucleotide RNA transcript. It is a transcript of the gene named receptor expression-enhancing protein 2-like, with no coding region annotated. The transcript is spliced from 7 exons. The record is from RefSeq and is a predicted model, not a curated record. NCBI's taxonomy places the organism in Eukaryota, Metazoa, Arthropoda, Insecta, Diptera, Culicidae.